This 506-nucleotide ribosomal RNA is filed under the name uncultured bacterium. RNAcentral describes it as "partial 16S ribosomal RNA". It matches the Rfam family "Bacterial small subunit ribosomal RNA", at positions 29 to 523 of the family's 1533-position model. The record is from RNAcentral.
AGUGAACGCUGGCGGUAGGCCUAACACAUGCAAGUCGAACGGCAGCACAGGAGAGCUUGCUCUCUGGGUGGCGAGUGGCGGACGGGUGAGGAAUACAUCGGAAUCUACUUUUUCGUGGGGGAUAACGUAGGGAAACUUACGCUAAUACCGCAUACGACCUACGGGUGAAAGCAGGGGAUCUUCGGACCUUGCGCGAUUGAAUGAGCCGAUGUCGGAUUAGCUAGUUGGCGGGGUAAAGGCCCACCAAGGCGACGAUCCGUAGCUGGUCUGAGAGGAUGAUCAGCCACACUGGAACUGAGACACGGUCCAGACUCCUACGGGAGGCAGCAGUGGGGAAUAUUGGACAAUGGGCGCAAGCCUGAUCCAGCCAUACCGCGUGGGUGAAGAAGGCCUUCGGGUUAUAAAGCCCUUUUGUUGGGAAAGAAAUCCAGCUGGUUAAUACCCGGUUGGGAUGACGGUACUCAAAGAAUAAGCACCGGCUAACUUCGUGCCAGCCGCCGCGGUAA